AAUGAACGCUGGCGGCGUGCCUUACACAUGCAAGUCGAGCGAGGCGGCCCGCAAGGGUCAGUCGAGCGGCGGACGGGUGAGUAACGCGUGGAUAACCUGCCCAGAGGUGGGGGAUAACCCGGGGAAACUCGGGCUAAUACCGCAUGAUACCGAGAGGUCAAAGGGGGCUCGCAAGAGCUCUCGCCAUUGGAGGGGUCCGCGUCCGAUUAGCUAGUUGGUAGGGUAAUGGCCUACCAAGGCGACGAUCGGUAGCCGGCCUGAGAGGGUGAUCGGCCACACUGGAACUGAGACACGGUCCAGACUCCUACGGGAGGCAGCAGUGGGGAAUUUUGCGCAAUGGGCUAACGCCUGACGCAGCAACGCCGCGUGGAGGAUGAAGGUCUUUGGAUUGUAAACCCCUUUCGGGAGGGAAGAUGGAACGAGCAAUCGUUCGGACGUACCUCCAGAAGCAGCCACGGCUAACUUCGUGCCAGCAGCCGCAGUAAU
This 486-nucleotide ribosomal RNA is filed under the name uncultured bacterium. Its description in RNAcentral is "bacterial SSU rRNA". It matches the Rfam family "Bacterial small subunit ribosomal RNA", at positions 29 to 524 of the family's 1533-position model. The record is from RNAcentral.